CCUUUCGUGCUGAUAAUCUCGGGACUGAGGGUAAUACACCAUAGGCCUCCGGCACUGGAAUGUCCGGAGACCAAAAGCUCCGGCGCGGUAGGAUGAGUCUGCGGAUGAUUAGCUAGUAGGCGGUGUAAUGGACCACCUAGGCUAUAAUCAUUAAGGGUCUUGAGAGAGAUAGCCCUGAGACGGAAUCUGAGACACUAUUCCGAGCCUUACGGGGUGCAGCAGGCGCGAAAACUUUGCAAUACACGAAAGUGUGACAAGGGGAUUCCAAGUGUGCAUAUACCAUAUGCACUUUUUCGAAGUUUAAAACGCUUCGGGAAUAAGGGGUGGGCAAGACUAGUGCCAGCCGCCGCGGUAAAACUAGCAUCUUGAGUGGCAGCCACAAUUACUGGGCUUAAAGCGUCCGUAGCUCGUUCAGAAAGUCCCCGGUGAAAUCCUACGGCUUAACCGUAGGGCUUGCCAGGGAAACUCCUGGACUUGAAGGCAGGAGAGGUCAGGGGUACGUCUGGGGUAGGGGUGAAAUCCUAUAAUCCUAGACGGACCAACAGUGGCGAAGGCGCCUGACAUGAAUGCGCUUGACAGUGAGGGACGAGAGCCAGGGUCGCGAAACGGAUUAGAUACCCGUGUAGUCCUGGCCGUAAACGAUGUUGACUAGGUGGGGCGUGACCUUAGCGGUCAUGCUAUGCCGAAGGGAAACCGUUAAGUCAACCGCCUGGGGAGUACGACCGCAAGGUUGAAACUUAAAGGAAUUGGCGGGGGAGCAC
This 761-nucleotide ribosomal RNA is filed under the name uncultured archaeon. Its description in RNAcentral is "bacterial SSU rRNA". It matches the Rfam family "Archaeal small subunit ribosomal RNA", at positions 113 to 879 of the family's 1478-position model. The record is from RNAcentral.